GCUUGGGAAACGGAGUGAUCAGUAGUCUAAUGACUCGAAAUCUAGACCUAAACGGUGCCGACUCCUGCAUUACGCACAAUAAUUUGAUCCCUAGCACCAAACAAGAGCCCUUGACAGAUUAUAACAUUAAAUUCUGGACAGAGAAUUUUUGUGUGUGUCUGAUGCCUAGACCAUUUUUAUUGAAGCUGGGGAUUUAUAAUCACCAAGUAUCUUGUCAGUGCUCAAGAACUAAAGAGACUCAUCACAACACUGAAGCCAGGAGAUCAACCCAUCACCUGGUGAGAGUUGGUUGGAAUUGAGAUACGAGCUCCCGGAUUUUUAGAGAGUUUGUUUGUGUGCAUUGGCCUUCAGCAGCUGGAGUCAUCUUCUUCUUAUCUUCGGACCUACCUGGAGCACCGAGUUAACCCAUUCCUUUCUCCCUUCCUCCCUCUACAGCCUCUCGUAACCUGCAAAGGACCCUUUCACUCCACACUCACACCUUCAACCCUUCCCACAAUACACUCCACUACAUAUACAAGUGCUAGCCACAUACAAUGCUGAACUGCUUACCCAGGGGUCCCUCUGAGGCAGGGGAGCAGUGAUAUUGUGAUGCUACAAGGAUAAGGCUCAAUACGGAACAGAUCUCUGUAUUCAA
Mauremys mutica (yellowpond turtle) is the source of this 634-nucleotide long non-coding RNA. RefSeq lists it as uncharacterized. The record is from RefSeq and is a predicted model, not a curated record. Lineage: Eukaryota; Metazoa; Chordata; Testudines; Geoemydidae. The transcript is spliced from 3 exons.